RNAcentral lists this ribosomal RNA (253 nucleotides) under uncultured bacterium. RNAcentral describes it as "partial 16S ribosomal RNA". It matches the Rfam family "Bacterial small subunit ribosomal RNA", at positions 524 to 776 of the family's 1533-position model. The record is from RNAcentral.
UACAGAGGGUGCAAGCGUUAAUCGGAAUUACUGGGCGUAAAGCGUGCGUAGACGGUCAUGUAAGUCGGGUGUGAAAGCCCCGGGCUCAACCUGGGAAUUGCAUUCGAGACUGCAUGGCUAGGAUGCGGAAGAGGGAAGCGGAAUUUCCGGUGUAGCGGUGAAAUGCGUAGAUAUCGGAAGGAACACCAGUGGCGAAGGCGACUUCCUGGCCUGUUCUUGACGCUGAGGCGCGAAAGCUAGGGGAGCAAACGGG